AUUGAACGCUGGCGGCAGGCCUAACACAUGCAAGUCGAACGAGUGGCGGACGGGUGAGUAAUGUCUGGGAAACUGCCUGAUGGAGGGGGAUAACUACUGGAAACGGUAGCUAAUACCGCAUACCAUCGGAUGUGCCCAGAUGGGAUUAGCUAGUAGGUGGGGUAAAGGCUCACCUAGGCGACGAUCCCUAGCUGGUCUGAGAGGAUGACCAGCCCCACUGGAACUGAGACAAGGUCCAGAAUCCUACGGGAGGCAGCAGUGGGGAAUAUUGCACAAUGGGCGGAAGCCUGAUGCAGCCAUGCCGGGUGUAUGAAGAAGGCCUUCGGGUUUUAAAGUACUUUCAGCGGAGAGGAGUUAACAGCAGAAGAAGCAACGGCUAACUCCGGGCCAGCAGCCGCGGUAAUUC
RNAcentral lists this ribosomal RNA (406 nucleotides) under uncultured bacterium. Its description in RNAcentral is "partial 16S ribosomal RNA". It matches the Rfam family "Bacterial small subunit ribosomal RNA", at positions 30 to 526 of the family's 1533-position model. The record is from RNAcentral.